Chrysemys picta bellii (western painted turtle) is the source of this 7931-nucleotide RNA transcript. It is a transcript of the gene named insulin receptor substrate 1, with no coding region annotated. NCBI's taxonomy places the organism in Eukaryota, Metazoa, Chordata, Testudines, Emydidae. The record is from RefSeq and is a predicted model, not a curated record.
GAGCGGCGGGCGGGGAGGAGGGGGCGGAUUGGAAUGCCGCGGCACCAGGCUAGGUUGGAACCUCCCUCGGCUGCUGCUGGGAUGGUCCACGCACUGGCGCCGUCACGUGUUUCUCUCCUUGGAGUGAGACUGAGUCUCGGUGGCGGCUGGAGGGGGCCGGACUCAUAAACACAGACACCGCCGCUUGUUUGGGUUUGGGGCGCUGCGAAACUCCGAGAAGCAGCCGGAGGAGGAGAAGUCAGCCAGGCAGCCCCAGACCCGCCUUCAGCCUGGGGCAGGGGAGGGGGCUUUGCUGUUGGCCUCGGCGCCUUUCCCGACUGGAAUGAGGAGGAGGAGGAAGAGAGGAUGUUCCUUCCCCACUUGGGCUGCUUCCCCUCCUGCUGCUGCCUGGUUGCAUUUUGUGUUGAAAUGGCACUUUCUCUUCCUAACGAGAUGGGACUGAAUGGGGUCGCCAGCCUCCUCACGCAUAAGCAGAAGAAGCAGCCUCGGCGCUGAUUUUUGGGCUGGGCUGUGUUUUUAGGGGGGGAGAAGAGGCGUGUGUUUUGGGGUGUAAGCCCCGGACUUUGCAAAACAAACCGCUACCCAGAGGAUCUUUAAUCUGUUACAGAGAUUGCGCUCGCUGAGGCGAAGUUGUGAAGGGGAGGGUGUUUUGGAGCAAAGCAAGGGGGACCCCCUUCCUGCUCCUCUCUACAGAGGAAUCCGACCCAUACGACUGAAAGAUGCGUUUCUUUUCCUCCCCGGCGGCGGCUGCUGGGAGAGCUAGACUUUCAUCUGGACUGACUGAGACUGGACUCUUUAAGGAUAUAUUGACCCUCCUGAGGGUGAUUUGGGCAUAAACAGCAAUAUAAACGCUGCUGUGGUGCUGGAAGCUGCCUCUGCCACUGAACAGCUGCUCUCACCCUGCCAGUAUCCCCUCCCCCCCAUCCCGUUUUGGAGAGGGGAUUCCGAGCUAGUUUGCUUUUUUAUUAUGAUUGUUGUUGCAUGAAUAGUAUUUUCAGAGGUGGGUUUUUUUUCUGCCUUGCUUGGCAGUUUUGGGGGCCUGUGGGCUGAUAGCUGCGGUAAAAACACCACCACCUCUCCUUCCACUAUGGCUAGCCCCACGGAUAAUAAUGAGGGCUUCUUCUCAGAUGUCAGGAAGGUGGGUUACUUGCGCAAACCCAAGAGCAUGCAUAAACGCUUCUUCGUGCUGAGGGCAGCCAGCGAGUCAGGACCUGCCCGGCUGGAGUACUAUGAGAAUGAGAAGAAAUGGAGACAUAAGUCAGGAGCCCCCAAGCGUUCCAUCCCACUGGAGAGCUGCUUCAACAUCAACAAACGGGCAGACUCCAAGAACAAGCACCUGGUGGCCCUCUAUACCAAGGACGAGCACUUUGCCAUUGCAGCUGACAGCGAGCCUGAGCAGGAGAGCUGGUACCAAGCCUUGCUGCAGUUGCACAAUCGGGCCAAGGGCCACCACCACCUCCAUCAUCAUCGUCACCACCACCACCACAGUGAUGUCUCCUUUGGGGGUGGCAGUGCAGGGCUGGGGGAGACAGGUGACGAUAGCUAUGGCGAGGUGGUGCCUGGUCCGGCUUUCAAGGAGGUUUGGCAAGUGAUCCUGAAACCUAAAGGUCUGGGCCAGACCAAGAACUUGAUCGGCAUCUACCGCCUGUGCCUGACCAACAAAACCAUCAGCUUUGUGAAGCUGAACUCAGAUGCAGCUGCUGUGGUACUGCAGCUGCUCAACAUCCGCCGCUGUGGCCACUCAGAGAACUUCUUUUUCAUAGAGGUUGGGCGUUCAGCGGUGACUGGGCCUGGUGAGUUCUGGAUGCAGGUGGAUGAUUCAGUGGUGGCACAGAACAUGCAUGAGACCAUCUUGGAAGCCAUGCGAGCCAUGAGUGAGGAAUUCCGGCCCCGCAGCAAGAGCCAGUCCUCUUCCAACUGCUCCAAUCCCAUCUCUGUGCCCCUCCGCAGCAGACACCAUGUCAACAACCCCCCACCCAGCCAGGUGGGGCUCAGUCGCAGGUCCAGGACUGAGAGUGUGACUGCUACCUCCCCUGCUGGGGGUGGUGGUGGUGGAGGAGGAACAGGGGGCAAACCCAGCUCUUUCCGAGUCCGAGCCUCUAGUGAUGGGGAAGGAACUAUGUCCAGGCCUGCCUCUGUGGAUGGCAGCCCAGUAAGUCCCAGUGCCAACCGGACCCACUCACAUCGGCACCGUGGCAACUCCAGGCUUCACCCUCCACUCAACCACAGUCGCUCCAUCCCAAUGCCUUCUUCACGCUGUUCCCCUUCAGCCACCAGUCCAGUCAGCCUGUCAUCUAGCAGCACCAGUGGCCAUGGCUCCACCUCAGACUGCCUCUUCCCACGCAGGUCCAGUGCUUCGGUAUCAGGCUCCCCCAGUGAUGGUGGUUUCAUCUCCUCCGACGAAUAUGGCUCUAGCCCCUGCGAUUUCCGCAGCUCUUUUCGCAGUGUGACUCCAGACUCUCUGGGUCACACCCCGCCAGCACGGGGGGAUGAGGAGCUCAACAACUACAUUUGUAUGGGGGGCAAGGCUGCCUCGUCCUGCAGCUUGGCAGCUCCCAAUGGCCACUUCAUCCCUCGCAGUUGCCACCCACAGCAUCAGCAGUGCCGCUAUCCUGGCACCCCAUGCUGCCCCCGGAGUGGUGGAGAGGAGGUAACUGACCUGGAGAAGGGCUUCAGGAAGCGGACUCACUCUGCAGGCACCUCACCCACCAUCUCCCACCAGAAGACACCCUCACAGUCUUCAGUGGCCUCUAUUGAGGAGUACACGGAAAUGCUGCCUUCCUAUCCUUGUGGUGGCAACCGGCUGCCCUCCUACCGGCACUCUGCCUUUGUGCCCACUCACUCCUAUCCUGAGGAGCAUUUGGAGAUGCACCAUUUGGAGGGCAGCCACCACCGGACCAACUCCACCCCACACACUGAUGACGGCUACAUGCCAAUGUCGCCUGGGGUGGCCCCUGUGCCCAGCAGUGGUGGCACACCCAAAGGUGGUGACUAUAUGCCCAUGAGCCCCAAGAGCGUGUCAGCCCCACAGCAGAUCAUCAACCCUGGCAGGGGGGGUCGCCACGCCCAAGCCAUGGUGGACUCCAAUGGGUACAUGAUGAUGUCCCCUAGCGGCAGCUGUUCACCUGACGGUGGUCCUGCCGGCUACGGCAAAAUGUGGACUAAUGGGGCUGGCCACCACCCAAAGCUCUCGGUAGAGAGCAGCGAAGGGAAGCUCCCCUGCAGCGGCAGUGACUACAUCAACAUGUCCCCAGCCAGCGGCUCCGCCACCAGCACCCCCCCGGACUGCUACUUCGCCACCUCGGAGCCGCCGGGCCCGGAGGAGGCCUCGGCGCAGGGCCCGGCCGAGCCCCCUCACAAGCCCAUCUACUCCUACUUCUCCCUGCCGCGCUCCUUCAAACACGUGCAGCGCAGGGCAGCCGAGGAGAGCGGCCCCCAGCUGCGCAUCUCCCUCAGCUCCGGCCGCUUGCUCUACGCCGCGGAGGACUCGUCCUCUUCCACCAGCAGCGACAGCCUCGGGGGAGGCGGGGGCCAAGAGGGCGCCGGAGGUCCCUACCAGGCGCAGCCCCCGCCGCAGCAGCCUACCCGUCAGGCGGCCGCGCAGAGUAGGAGCCGCCUGACCAGACCCACCCGCUUGUCCCUGGACGGCCCCAAGGCCAGCACUCUGCCGCGGGCGCGGGAGCAGCCCCCGCUGCUGCUGCCGCCGGAGCCCAAGAGCCCCGGCGAGUACGUGAACAUUGAGUUCGUGGCCAGUGACAAGCCGGCUUUCCCGUCGGCCGCGCGGCCCCGAGGGGACGAAGGCUCCGAGUACAUGAACAUGGAGCUGGGGCCGCCGCGGGCUGCCUGCCAAGCCGGCUUCGCAGCCGUACGGGCGGCAGCUGCGGCCCGGCCAGGCCGAGGAGCUGCUGCCCUCAGCAGCCGGGACUAUGUGACUAUGGAACAGGGGGGCGGUGUCGGGGGGCCCUGCCCGGGCUGCGCCGACCCCCCGUCCCCCGCGCUCUUGCUCAACUACGCCGACAUGCGGACGGGCCGUGCCGUCCCGGAGAACUCCCCUGCUGCCCCUGCCUCCGCCCAGGCGCAGCCGCCGGCCGAGCUGGCAGCGGCGCCACCGCGCUCCUCCUCCCUGAUGGGAGGCCCGGGGGUGAACAGCGCCUUCACCCGCGUCAGCCUCAGCCCCAGCCCCGGCCGCAAUCAGAGCGCCAAAGUGAUCCGCGCCGACCCGCAGGGGGGCCGCCGGCGGCACAGCUCCGAGACCUUCUCCUCCACCCCCAGCAACGCCCGCGGCACGGCGGGCAGCGGCGGCCUCAACGCGCCCUUGCUCUACGGGGCGGGGGGCGCCGAGGAGGUGAAACGCCACAGCUCGGCCUCCUUCGAGAACGUCUGGCUCCGGCCUGCCUCCGGGGAGCUGGGGGCGGCCGCCAGGAGGGAGCAGCAGCCCCUCGGGGCCGGGGGUGGCUUUGAGAACGGACUCAACUACAUCGACCUGGACUUAGUGAAGGAUUUUAAUCAGCGUCGCCAACACCCCCACCACCCCCAGGAGGGCACCUCUGCGCUGGGGGGGAGGCAGCCGCCGCCGCCGCCCAGAGCCCCUAAUCAGCCUUGUGGGAGUAGCCACUCUAGCGACGAUUUGAGUGCAUAUGCCAGCAUCAGCUUCCAGAGGCGGGAGGACGUCUAAUAGCUGGGCAAGAGCCAGAGAGAAGAAUGAUGACCUAUACAACCUCAGCAAAUCCUUCUUUUAACUCAUGGGUAUCCAGACUAUAAAUGUUACAUGAAUCACAACUAGGACCUCACAUCCUCCUCCUCGUCCAUAGAUGGGUAUGAUGCAUCCAGUUCAGUUUGUUUACUUUACACAAACCUCAGGAGUUAGUUGACUGAACUGCACAUUCUAUGUUGUGCCAAGCAAAAGCACUGUGACACCUGGACAAUGAGUCUCUAUUACUUCAUCCUCUACCAUAAGGACUUAGCUGGACACAAUGAACUGAUGUGCCCACCACUAUGUCAUGGCCAGCCCGCAGACUCUGUGCUGAGUUUGUGUUCCUUCCAGCUCCCUCGGAGUGGGUGGAUCAGUGCAGCCCAGCCCAGCCCAGCCUGCCAUUUACUACAUCAUCUUCUGGCUUUCCUCAGCUGCACAGCAGAACAGUCUAGCUCAGCCUGCCAGCCUGCCUGUGCCAGUACACCUCCUGCGUUCAUUCCAGCUCCCUCAGAGUGUUUGAGUGUCCUCCUCCAGCCUGCCGUUUCACUCCCCUUCCGCUGGCUUCUCUCGGUAAUUCAGCAUAGAGGUCUAUCCCCUAACGCCAGCCUUUCUGCCAUCCAGAUAGUGGGGUCCUGCAGGAACAGGUUGGACUCCCCCAAUUGUAUUCCAUCUCCCAUGAUGCACUACAGCCAUAGGAUUGCCAUGAUGCACUGCCUCCCCUCUUAAAGAGUAAAGACCAUGGGUGGUGUGAAAGUAAAGAGGAGAGUCGUCACGUUUGCAGCAGCCAUUACUAUUGUAAGGAUUCUACAAAAAGAGGAAUUUUGUUUGUUCCAAGAGGUCAUCUGCUUCUUCUCCUUAUUCCUCAUCUGAAAUGAAUGAUGUCAGAAUCCAGAGAUGUAAGAUGAAUUUUCCUAGCCAAUUUCCAAUCUGAAAGGCUCCAAAAUAGAACAGCAAUAUUUGACUCCAUCUAAACUCCAUUCCACAGCUUACUAUCAGCCAUGGGAAUUUACAAGCAUUCCAAAGAGGCUGAGGAAAUCCAGGAAACCACAAUGACAGCUCUACUUGAAAAAGACCAUUAUAUGAUAGUGACUUGAGAGAGAAAAUACAGCAUAUUUUACCUCCUUCAUGAAAGAUUAGAAAUAUCACUUAUAUUAAACUGUUUGGUUUAAUAAAUGAUUUGGUUUUAAUUAGAGCUGGCCAGGAAUUUUUUGAUAGAAUGUUUUUUGUUGGAAAAUGACAGUUUGUUGAAACCAAAACUUUGUGCAGGAAUGUAGCAGGUUCAACAACGUUUUCAAGAGAGGUUUCUGAGGUACAAGAUGGAAUAUGUAGUCCCAGAGGGAGGGAGACAGACAGACAGAUACCAGAACAGCUGGGACUUGGGAGGCCUGUGUUCAAGACCUUGAUCCAAAUCAACUACAGUGGGGAUUCAAACCUGGGUCUUACACAUUGCAGGUGAGUUUCCUAAUACAAGGCUAUUCUGGGGCCCCUCUCUGUGUGGGGGGGAAACUUCAGAAGGUCUGUUUUGUUCCAAAGUGCAACAGAAAAUUUUUUGAAAUCUUAAAAAUUUUUGUGGGACAGGAGAACCAUUUCCCUACUAGCUCUAGUUAUAAUGCCUUGUGGGGAGACAUUUGUUUGCAUCAACUGGGAUUUUCCAUAUAAAGGUCAUAGUGAUUGACUUCUUGGAGAUAUGGCUACGUUCUUACUUAUGUCUUGCUGUAUCAUGUGCAAACUUUUUUUGAAAUGUACCAUUUGUUCUCUUUAAGUAAUUUACACAUUAUAGGCAAGAAGCCUCCUCAGAGAAAUUACUGGUUAUUUUCCCAUCCAUAUGUUUAACAAUGAGCUUGGUGUGAUGCUGUGUAUAAGAAAGAUGAUCAUUUGUAUCAUUGUUUCUACCACUGUUAUACAAUUGCAACAAAUCUUGUAUAAACGUAUGUCAUGUAAGGUGUCAAUGGAAAAGUUCGGAUUUACGAAGUAUGAUUAUUCUGUUUAUAUGCAUGUAUCAUCUUUGUAUGUGAAGUUAUGAAUAUUGGCUAUGGACUUGUGUCUUAAACGUGUGUUGUAUUCCUGGGUGACACCCCUCAGCAGAAUUUACAUCAGGGCUAGACAGCGAUGUGUUGAUGGCCCAUCAAGGACACUCCACUCUCAGAAUGGGUCAUUGAAGAAACUCAUGCUGCCCAGUAGGUCUUUCUGCAGAUGCCUCAGACAGCGAGGAGCCAAUGGCCAUCCCCUGUGAUUCAGCAAAACAUGUAGGGGUAUGUGAUAUGCUCAUGUGAUCCUGGACUCCAUCUUGGCCAGAAACUUUCCACAGACAGGGGCUGUGGGUUUUGUUUGGAACAGUAAAUUUCCAUGCACAUGACAGAGGGUAUAAAAAGACGCCCGAGACACCUCCACAUUGCCUCUUUCCUGCUCUAAUUCUCUGCAUUGUGGAUUUACAACUAAAAGGAGUACCUUGAACUAUGGACUGAGCACCUUCCAAUCUUUUGGAACUUGCCAGAGAGACUUUAAAAGCCAGCAGUCUAUUUCACCACUGCGACAUUAAAUCAUUUGUAUGUAUGUGAUCUAUUAACCUUUUAUAACUCUCUUCUUUUCUUUUAUUAUUUAAUCUUUAGUUAGUUUACUAAGGAUUGUCUGACAUUGUGAUAUUUGGGUAAAGUCUGAGAUUCAUAUUGACAGAAAGAAUCUCGCUUAUGGUGAAAUGGGUUUUCAAUAACCUCUCACUAUAUUAGAUUGGGUUGCCUGGAUGGGAGCCAAGGGCUGGAAUGCCUAAAGGGGAAUGUGUUUGGCUUCUGGUUAACCAGUGUGGUACUGCAGAUGCUCUUUUGUUACUGAUUUGGUGAAUCUAAUUAUAAAGUAAACCACCAGAUUUGGGGAUUGUCUGCCCGGAGUGCGGCAUUAUCAGUGUGGUCUAUCACAGGCACCCAGUCACACCUGGUGUAAGAGCUUGGGCUGGAUAAGCAACCAAACAUUCUGAUUUUUUUUUUUAAAUCCUUGUCAGAUCUGGACAUUUCUCCCUCUGUAUUGGACAGAAAUACAAUAGAAAAAAAGCCUCUCUUGAAGUAUCUUGGUUGCUUUCAGCAAGAACCAGAAAGUCCAGAGGCACACAAAAAUGAUGUAAAAAAGGUUAAGCAAAUCUUUGCAGAUCUUAAACCUACCAACCGAAUCAAACAUCCCACCAACAACAAAUCACCACCACCACAAAUUUGGUUUGAGUUUUUGGGGUAAAGGUUUGGCUCUUUCU